Molecule: small RNA, 1048 nt
Filed under: uncultured Pelagibacterales bacterium
Lineage: Bacteria; Pseudomonadati; Pseudomonadota; Alphaproteobacteria; Candidatus Pelagibacterales
Description: bacterial SSU rRNA
Rfam family: Bacterial small subunit ribosomal RNA (bases 1-658)
Source: RNAcentral
CACCGCCUGGGGAGUACGACCGCAAGGUUAAAACUCAAAUGAAUUGACGGGGACCCGCACAAGUAGUGGAGCAUGUGGUUUAAUUCGAAGAUACGCGCAGAACCUUACCAACACUUGACAUGUUCGUCGCGACUCUAAGAGAUUAGAGUUUUCGGUUCGGCCGGACGAAACACAGGUGCUGCAUGGCUGUCGUCAGCUCGUGUCGUGAGAUGUUGGGUUAAGUCCCGCAACGAGCGCAACCCUCACUUUUAGUUGCCAUCAUUUAGUUGGGCACUCUGAAAGAACUGCCAGUGAUAAGCUGGAGGAAGGUGGGGAUGACGUCAAGUCCUCAUGGCCCUUACGUGUUGGGCUACACACGUGCUACAAUGGUAUCUACAACAGGAAGCAAGACGGCGACGUCAAGCAAAUCCUUAAAAGAUACCUCAGUUCGGAUUGCACUCUGCAACUCGAGUGCAUGAAGCUGGAAUUACUAGUAAUCGUGGAUCAGCGUGCCACGGUGAAUGCGUUCCCGGGUCUUGUACACACCGCCCGUCACACCAUGGGAGUUGGUUCUACCUUAAGGCAAGGUUUAAAACCCUUGACCACGGUAUAGUCAGCGACUGGGGUGAAGUCGUAACAAGGUAGCCGUAGGGGAACCUGCGGCUGGAUUACCUCCUUUCUAAGGAUGAAUGAAAUUAAAAUUUUAUUCUAAAUAAUAUACAUUGGUAAUGUUGACCGUCCUCAUUUCUCUUCUUGAAGUAGUGUUUCUCUUGCAUGGGGGCCGGUAGCUCAGUUGGUUAGAGCACACCCUUGAUAAGGGUGGGGUCGAAAGUUCGAGUCUUUCUCGGCCCACCAAUUUAAGAUUAAGGGGGAUUAGCUCAGCUGGGAGAGCGCCUGAUUUGCAUUCAGGAGGUCAGCGGUUCGAUCCCGCUAUCCUCCACCAAAACACUUAGUUAUAAAAAUUGUAAAUAAAAAUAAUAAUUAAUAUCAAUAUCUAUAUCCGAACAUUAGUAAUAUUAUUAGCUAAUGUUCAAAAUAAAAAUUUGAUUCAACACAGAAUUUUUUUCUG